GGCGAUUCGUUCCGCGAGUUUCUCGCACUUCUCCCCGGUGCCUUCUUCAUCCCCAGGCAAGCCACAAUACCCACUUGCAUGAUAGUCAUGCAGUAGCCAUGGUUUUCAACUUCAAUAUUUAAUAAAUGUUUGCUUGUUGAAAAGAUGGUUAUCGUUGUUCCGGUGAUGAUUAGAUUUGCAUGUUCACUUUUGUGCUAUGUUGUCUUAUACUGUGUGAUCAUGUUAUACCUGCUAGUAUUACCUUUCAUAUGUUUAUGCUUGUUAGUAAAACAUGUUGAUGUUGGAGAUGGUCAUCGUAGUCAAUAUGCGAUGCUCAGUGGAUAUGAUUUAUUGUUGAUAUGGUGGAAAGUUAUGUGAUACUCUCAUGAUGAUGUUGAUAUCAUGUUCAUGCAUUUUAUCAUGGCUCAGCAUAUUUGCAUUCAAGUUAACUGGAUUAAAUUGAACUUGAACAAUUGUUGGCUGAGUCAUGGUGCCGCUGAAUCGAUGCUGACCAGUGCAACCACGCUUACCGGUAUGGGACGGUCCUAACUGGGUCUAUUGUCGUGCCUCUCGCCGGUACCUCCAACGAGGGAAGGUUAUGGGCGUGCUGUACCCAGGCCUGGUAAGUAGGCAUAACCAUGUGUGCACGUAGUUGUUAUAGUCAACGGAUCCCCAUGUGGGAUCGUUUAUGUUUUGGCCAUGGCGGUGGUCCUUGUGUCUCGAGGUAGACACGGGGCCACCCAUGACUUAGCUAAGUGGGGAGUGAGUCGAAGUGGCCAGGAGAGUGUCAUGGCAGUAGGACGGUUUUGUUGGAACGAUGUUGGUCCACCCGAAUGGGAGUGCGAGGCCAUGGGUUCUGUAGUGUGGGUACAGUGUGCUAACCUUUGCAGAGUGUAUAUUAAAUCUAUCGAUAGCCGCGCCCACGGAUAAGGGCCCAGGUCGAAAGUAGGUCACACCAUGAGUCAACAGUAAUAAGAAUAACGUGUUUAAUAACAAUGAGAUAAGUUGGUUGUGAUCGCCGUAAGGAUCACAGUUUAGGGACAUUUAUUGGUCCGGUUAUGAUCGCCGUAAGGAUCACAGGCCAUUUAGUGGUCGGGUUGUGAUCGCUGGAAGGAUCACAGUUUGGGGCCAAGUGUUGGUAGGGUUGUGAUCACCGUAAGGAUCACCAUGGUAUUGAGGAUACCGAAAUGUGGUACAUUCGUGAUGUUGAACGAGAAUGUGGGUAAAGAUCAAGCUCCUUGUGGUCAUUUACUGAUUACUACGGUAUUGUUUAUACCAAGCUUGAUUUGAUCUUUAGAUGAUCGUGUAAUGUUCGAGGUUGGUAAGUGAUGCAUGAGUUGGUUACGAGGUAACCCGAGAAGAAUGAGUUUUGCAUGAUAGUGUCAUCAUGCUGCAUGCUAGUAUUGUCGGAUCAAUAUGUUCAUGUUGUGAUAGCUGUAUCAUGUUUAUGUUGGUCAUGCCAUGUUGUUUUGAUGAUAUCAUGUUAAUCCCUGAUUAACCUGUAAUUGCCAUGCUGUUGUCUGUCUUGAAUGCUUCUGGUUAUUUGUGAGCUUGCAAGUACAUUCAAUGUACUGACCUGGCGUGUCAUGCCAGCUUGCAGGUCAUUCCGGAUUUGAUUGCUUGCUUGUCAUGGUUUCCGUCCGUGCGAGCUAGGCUAAGCGUUCCAGCCAGAGUCCCUGCGGAGUGGAGUUCACCACCGUCGUUGUUGUUCCAUUGCUAGAGUUAUUCCGCUGCAUUGAGUUGUUCUGCUGCUUGCAUAGAGCAACUGAGGAUGGUGUAGUGUCGCUGUACCGAUGUAAUUCAUUGUAAUAUUGGCAACCUUGUAUUCAUAUUCGUGUAAUAAUAGAAGGCUGGUUUGUUCUAUGCUAAGAAGUGCUGUAUUCCAGAAGACUUCUCCUCGAUCUCCGGGCUAGAAUAUGAGGCAUUCCGGUUUUCUCUGAGCCGGGGUGCCACAGCGCUUGGUAUCAGAGCAGAUCUGGCUGUAGGACGCCCUAGACCGCGCGAACGUUAGAAAGCGGUAGUAUGGACCCCAGCUGGUUUGUUGCACUUGAUUGCUGCAUUUGUUUGUCGCAUAGCAUGCAUAUAGAUUAUUAUUUAGUCGCUAACGGUUUAUAUGGUGAGUGUAGCUGGCAUCAGUUCGGAUCCACUACAACUCAACCUUUGCAUUUCUCCAGUUCCUUUUUUCUUUCGGUGUUUGGUGUCAUUCUUGUCCCAGCAGAGUGAUGCCAAGUGAUCCCGACACUGUUUGCAAAAAUAGUGCUCAGGUAUCGCACCGAUGUCUUUCCUUCAGUCCCGCCUAUCGUAUCGGUGAUGAACAUGUUUCUAUCCCGGAUCGUUCUUUUAUUUUGUUGUGUUGGCAAUCCUUAAUGAUCUCAGUUAUCAAGAAAGGGCAAUGUCAGCAGCCUCAAUUUCCCCCCCGCUAUCCUAUUUCUUGGACGAGUAUAGAUCUUUUUCCGUCCGCUUGAUAAUAAUGUGGUUGUGACCUUCGUGUCCCACUACAUGAUUACCGAGUGUGUCCUCGCCUCCGAGCUGGUUCAGGUUGCCACCUGGCUAAGCUAGCACUUGGUGUAGCGCUGUUUACACCAAUUCCUCCACACAUUUAUUCGUCCUCGUGCACAUCGUCACAGCAUAUUAGACCGCAAUACCGGAGUUUCCGCGAGAUUUGUGUGCCUAGGUGUGCAUGCAUAUUAUUGUGUGAGUAGUAGUAAUAUGUGAUGGUUGCUUGAUUAAUUAUAUUAGUAAAAUGCUUGUGUGCUUUUGUUUUAGUCGUUUCUAUUGUUCCUUUCUUUGGGCCUUCGGUGUUACAAAGUUCUCCACUAUUAAACUUGCUCGUCAACCGACACUGGACCCGAAGAGUCAGCAAGAAAUGCAUGUAUUUGGAAACUCAGCUAAACACAAUGGAAUUAUCAGCUGACUGCAGUGAAAUCGGGAAUAUCUUGUCUGUAUGCAAAAGAAAUCCUGGAUGGACCGUCAGUAUCAAGUUUGCAUUAGUGUGCACUCAUCACAACAAAAUGAUUAAAUCAGCACGAAGAUAAAUUGUGUGCAAGGUUGAUAGAAUAUUAUCAAAGGUAUGGCUCAGAUACAAGUUUAAUUUGUCAUUGAGGAUGAUUUUGGAACUCGAUGUACCUGGAAGCAAGCAAAAAUAUGGCAUAUACUCAGAAAAGAGGAUAGUCCAGCAAAACCCUGUUUCAAUGCAAGAAAUCAAUAGCAAAAAUAUUAAGAUGGUAUGUAUAUGUGGAAAUUGGUCCGCAUAUCACAAUAAGAAGUUUAUGGUGUAAGCAACCCACUUUUCCCUUGCAAGAUACCAGAGAAGCUUCCAAGGAAAGAUUCAUCUAUCUCCCUCAGUACAAUACGUGGAUGAUUUCCCGUGCAAGGUACUAUGCCUUCUUCAGUAAGCAACCGCAAAAGCUUCCGGCAUAAGGUACCGAGUCUUUCCCCAGCAAAGACUUUAAGGGGGUAAGCUUCUGAAGCACGAUACCUAGUCUUUUUCAGCAAGCUGUCCGAUGAAAGUUUCGAGCACAAGCCAGCAAAUAUUCCUCAGUAAGACAUUGGUACAAGGUAGUACGCUGUGAAUUGACAGCAUAUGGCAGUGAAUCCCAAGAAUCAGAUCUGCAACAGUUUGGUCAGAAUCAAGAAUCAGUCAGAAUACACGUCUGUCUCGGAACCAGGUCCUCAUAUAUAUGCAAUGAGCAUACCAUCAAGACCUUACAAGUCACUUGGAUGAGGAUCUGACAACCACGUGAGGAUGGUUACGAGAAUAAAGCUAGUAUACACCGCAGUGUGACAAAGGAUUAUGAGGAUUGACGACCUCAGUGAGCUCAGUACAAGUACUUGUGAACUGGAAAAUGAUCCUGAUGAGCCCUUGUCCCCUUUUCUCCAAUGACGUCACCACGCCUGUGAUCUAAGAUGUUUCUAGCUAUCCAGGGUGGAUACCAUUUUUGUUUCUCUCUUCAACGACUGUCAUGAGUCUGAGCUGCUUUUCGGCCGUCUCGUACAUCUGUUGAGUUUCUUUUUGUGACAGUAGCCAUAUAGCUGCUUUUUGGCUAUUUUAGGGAGCUGUCACCUUCUUCUUAUCGACCCGGUCUCAUGCUCUGAGCUGUUUUUCGGCCGUCCUGAGCCGUGGUUGAGUUAUUUUAGUAAUGUCCUAGAUCUGAGUUGUAAAGACCAUUCUGGUGGCUACUUAUUGAUUUGCCGAGUUCUUGCCAGGGUUUUGGAUGAUCAUUUCUCAACGCUCAGAAAUUGAGAGGUGUUGAACAUGCCAUUUAAUGGGUUACCCUGUCAGAAAAAUAAGGAUAAACUACAAUUGCCAAAAAAUUGCACCGACAGUACCUAUGGUCAUACGAAGAAGCAAUAUGGCCUUGGUAUUUCAUCCAAAGAUCCAGGCCAAGAAAACAAUAAUGAAGGAGCAAGGGUAGUGAUACAGGUAUGAAAAUUUUACACGACCCCCAUGGUGUAGAUCCCCCGGACCAUCUAGGUCAGUAUUGAUCCACAUGGAUAUGCCUACAGCAUGAGUAAUCGGCAUAAGGAAUAACAGUCUGGAAGCCCGAGUCCUCACUUAUAUGAAUCAUCAUGGAUAGCCUGUCGUGAAUAAGAUUUUUCCGUCAGAAUCACCGCCAGUCAAGUCUGCGGAUAUUAUCAUAUAGGCAAACCCUUUAUGUUGGCCGCGACAGGAGACAAUCAAAUAUUUGGUACGGAUCCGAUACUCACGACAGUGGAACCAGUUAAGAUGAUUCAUAAACUUCUGCAAUGAGUCAGAGCUUGAGUUUUCAUCAGAAAAUUUUGAUCAUCAUUACAUGAAAGGUUGUCAGUGUCGGACGGCACACCUAGCGGAAAUCACUUUUGGAUUUGUGAGACGGACAUAUAAUUCAGUCGUGAAAAUUAAAUCACACUCAACUAGUCAGUAGAUCUAAAAAGAAAUUGGAGCCUAUAUAAGCAUGAAUAAGCCAGGUAAGAUCUGUCAGAAGGAGGAUACAGUGAAUCAAACCACCCCAAGGCCAGUCAGAUAAAAAUUUAAUGGGAACAACAAUGAAGGAAAAAGGAUACCCAAGUUGGAAACGGUUUCCUUAAGUCAGAAUAUUCAUACUUGUUCCCUGAGCAACCAAAUCUCGAGGACAAGAUUUCUUUAAAGGGGUAAGGUUUGUGACAGCCUGAUUUUUGGCCCUUUCUUUUUCUUUUGUUUUUCCGAGGUUUUUGCCUAAGUUUUCUUUUUCCGUGGCUUUGUGUUCUGGAAACUAAAGAAGAUGCCCUCUUCUUUGCUUCUAGAGUGGCUUGUCAUUCCCAAAUCCUUCCCUAGACCCUGUCCUUUCCAUCCUAGCCCAAAUCCCAAUAUUCUUUUUAUUGGGAAUAUUCCUUUUCUAUUAAAGGAAUAACUCAAAUUACCCUAGGUUGUGAAGCAACCUAUAUUUCCCUCACUCCUAAGAUUCCCAAAUAAUUCUCAUUAAUUGUUUGGGUCAUAUAUUGAUCAAAUAUGGCAAAAUUGUUCAUUGCCAUGUUCAAAAAUAAUCGUCCAAUAAUUCAUUUCCUAUUCUGCCCUAAAUGGCACUUUGUGAAGGAAGUGUCAUUUAUAUUUCUACUAUUGACUCCCAACCUUUUUGGGCAUGUUUAUAUGUCCAAAUAGUUGCCUCAUGCACAAUUUCAACUUUAUUUGCCUAGCCAAUCUUCCUUAGUGAAUUUUCAAAGUUUCUAUCAAACAAAAAGCUUUGUGAAGGAAGUACUAGCUAGGAGUACCCAAAUGAGUUGAACUUUUGCACACUCCUUAAUGUGCUCAUAUUAAACCCCUUCACCCAUUUGUAGCCACAUACAAUCAUCUAUGUGAGCAUAGGAGCAAAUCUUUGUUUCUUGCAAUAUUUUCAGGUUGUGAAGCAAGUAUAUUUUAUAUUGUUUCAAAAUCCUGAUAAAUUACCAGAUCAUUCUUAUACCCAUAAAAAAUCUCUCCACCCAUUUUGGCAUCAUUUCAUUGAUCCAUUUGAUCACCAUAAUUAUUCCAAGUUUCUGGACAGAAAUGAUGUUUGUGAAGCAAGUGCCAUUUUGGCUUGUCCAUUUGGCAUGAGAUUUUUACAGCAUCAUCAUAUGAGCAAAUGACUAAGCUUUGCCCAAUUUGAGAUCAAGUGGACACUCCAUGUGAGUGCACCAUCAUGAUCUUCAUUUCUGGACAAUUUUGGCAGUUGCAAAGCAACUGCAGUAAAUCUUGAUCCUUUUACCCUCAAAACCUCCAGGACUGUAGUCCUUCCUAGCCUAAACACCCCAGACAACUUCUUUGGCUUCAAGUAACUCCUUAGUGAUCACAUUGAGCUGGUAAAGUUUACUGCAGUAAACUUCAAAGCUCACUAACUAUUUAACCAGAGCCUCUUUCACCAAGUUACCACCUCAGUUGAAACUACUAUUCGAAGGACUUACCACUAGACAUAAAUUUCCAGCCGUUUGCCUCCCCCACAUGCCAGCACAGGUGGUGACCGCCGUUUUGUCAUGCCAUGCGCACAUCCAGUGGUUGUUUGUGCUAGACCCCCUCCCCCUCUCGUUGGCUUCACGCCCUUGAUGAUGUCUAGUAGAUAGCCCUCAUCGUCGCCGUCCUCCUGGACCCCUCUCCCCUUCCGGCAGCUUCCUCGCCGACGCUCGCCGACGAACACCCACAGGAGCACUAUGGCCGACAGUGCAUUAAUGGCGCCCGGCUUCUUCCUCUGCUCCCCUCGACCCCGUGAGCUCUGUGCCUCGUCCGCGUUCUCCUUCGUCGCUUUCCCCGUGCCCCCCUCCCCCGUGCUCGCUGGCCGCGCCAGAGCCUCGGCCAUAUGCACACAGCGGCACCCGAGCCCCUCCCUCUCGUCCGACUAUAUAUAGCCAUCCCCGCGGCCUCCCGAGCUCACCUCUCGCAUCACCACUUCCCCAGGAGCCCACCCAUGCACUCGCCUGAGAUUCUGGAGCUCUACUCGACCACCAUAGCCGCCAUGGCCGCCGCCCCCUCCGGCUUAAAUUCACCCAAUGCAGAGCCUCCCCCUCCGUUCGUCCACCACCACUGGCUUCCCCACCUCCCGUAGGGCCUCCCCAACCCAUUCGCUCGUCGCCGGAGCCUCUGUGGUCGCCGUCCCCAAUCUUAGCCGCCGUCGUCUGCAGCUCCUGCCACCGCACGGUGCCGCGUCCACACCCCUCCCCGGUGCUCCCUCUACCCUGGGAUGGAGGCGACACGCCAUCCUGAAGCCGUCGGUGUCCUCCCCCUGGCCGGAGGAGAGGAGGAGCAGAUGCGGGGGAGAAGAAGAAGGAGGCGGGAGGAGAGAGUCAACGCCCGUGGGACCCGCCUGGCAGUGAGACAAGGGCCGGCCCCGCCACUGCCACAUCAUGUAAGUGGAAGCGUAUUCCCCAGAAUACGCUUUCCAUUUUUCUGUUUUUGCCUAGUCUGUAAAAUAAUUUUUUACAGAUAGGUCCCUGGCAGUAAAACCCUUAUAUCUUUUUAUCCGUAGAUCCAAAUCAGGUGAAACCAACGCUCACUUCUUUGUUUUGUCGAGCCCUCUCUGUUGGUGUCACUUUCAUUAUGUUUUGGCAUACAGAAAAUGACCAUUUUUCCCCUGCCCAUACUCAGCCCCCUCCGAGAGAGAACAUUUUCCGAUGAUUCAUUCCGCGAGUUUCUCGCAGUUCUCCCCGGUGUCUUCUUCAUCCCCAAGCAAGCCACAAUACCCACUUGCAUGAUAGUCACGCAGUAGCCAUGGUUUUCAACUUGAAUAUUUAAUAAAUGUUUGCUUGUUGAAAAGAUGGUUAUCAUUGUUUCGAUGAUGUUCAGAUUUGCAUGUUCACUUUUGUGCUAUGUUGUCUUAUACUCUAUGAUCAUGUUAUACCUGCUAGUAUUACCUUUCAUAUGUUUAUGCUUGUUAGUAGUACAUGUUGAUGUUGGAGAUGGUCAUGCUAGUCAGUAUGCGAUGCUCAAUGGAUAUGAUUUAUUGUUGAUAUGGUGGAAAGUUAUGUGAUACUCUCAUGAUGAUGUUGAUA
RNAcentral lists this long non-coding RNA (7953 nucleotides) under Triticum aestivum (bread wheat). RNAcentral's name for it is "long non-coding RNA (TAES_LNC016248)". Lineage: Eukaryota; Viridiplantae; Streptophyta; Magnoliopsida; Poales; Poaceae. The record is from RNAcentral.